This 253-nucleotide ribosomal RNA is filed under the name uncultured bacterium. Its description in RNAcentral is "partial 16S ribosomal RNA". It matches the Rfam family "Bacterial small subunit ribosomal RNA", at positions 524 to 776 of the family's 1533-position model. The record is from RNAcentral.
UACGUAGGGGGCAAGCGUUAUCCGGAUUUACUGGGUGUAAAGGGGGCGCAGACGGCGAUGCAAGCCAGGAGUGAAAGCCCGGGGCCCAACCCCGGGACUGCUCUUGGAACUGCGUGGCUGGAGUGCAGGAGGGGCAGGCGGAAUUCCUGGUGUAGCGGUGAAAUGCGUAGAUAUCAGGAGGAACACCGGUGGCGAAAGCGGCUCUCUGGCCUGUAACUGACACUGAGGCUCGAAAGCGUGGGGAGCAAACAGG